This is a non-coding RNA of Caerostris darwini, 85 nucleotides long. Lineage: Eukaryota; Metazoa; Arthropoda; Arachnida; Araneae; Araneidae. The record is from the annotation of a GenBank genome assembly.
CUUCUCGUUAGAUCACCGAAGUCAAGCAUCAUUGGGCGCGGUCAGUACUUGGGUGGGUGACCACCUGGGAACACCGCGUGCCGUU